Molecule: unclassified non-coding RNA, 250 nt
Filed under: plant metagenome
Description: partial contains small subunit ribosomal RNA, internal transcribed spacer 1, and 5.8S ribosomal RNA
Source: RNAcentral
GUAGGUGAACCUGCGGAAGGAUCAUUAACACGAAACUUCUGUUUCAAUACACUUCUGUGCACUACACGAGAGCGAUCAUUUGACUACAAAGGGUUGGUGUUAUCCUAGAUCACUGAGCGUUGGAAGAGUUCGACAAUCAGAAUGCUAGGGCCAACGUAUUGUGGGACGAUCAUAUCUCAAUUUAAAACUCUACCUUAUUAAACUCUUGUUUCAUCCAUAUGGUUAUCAAACCACAUGGUGUGCUGAUAUU